This 1304-nucleotide ribosomal RNA is filed under the name metagenome. RNAcentral's name for it is "bacterial SSU rRNA". It matches the Rfam family "Bacterial small subunit ribosomal RNA", at positions 75 to 1375 of the family's 1533-position model. The record is from RNAcentral.
GGGGGCAACCCUGGCGGCGAGCGGCGAACGGGUGAGUAACACAUCGGAACGUACCCAAUUGUGGGGGAUAACACAUCGAAAGAUGUGCUAAUACGCAUAAGUCCUGAGGGAGAAAGCGGGGGAUCGCAAGACCUCGCGCGAAUGGAGCGGCCGAUGUUCGAUUAGCUAGUUGGUGGGGUAAAGGCCUACCAAGGCGACGAUCGAUAGCUGGUCUGAGAGGACGACCAGCCACACUGGAACUGAGACACGGUCCAGACUCCUACGGGAGGCAGCAGUGGGGAAUUUUGGACAAUGGGGGCAACCCUGAUCCAGCCAUUCCGCGUGAGUGAAGAAGGCCUUCGGGUUGUAAAGCUCUUUCGGCAGGAACGAAACGGUGACGGUUAAUACCUGUUACUAAUGACGGUACCUGAAGAAGAAGCACCGGCUAACUACGUGCCAGCAGCCGCGGUAAUACGUAGGGUGCGAGCGUUAAUCGGAAUUACUGGGCGUAAAGCGUGCGCAGGCGGUUUUGUAAGACAGCUGUGAAAUCCCCGGGCUCAACCUGGGAACUGCGGUUGUGACUGCAAGACUUGAGUGUGGCAGAGGGGGGUGGAAUUCCACGUGUAGCAGUGAAAUGCGUAGAGAUGUGGAGGAACACCGAUGGCGAAGGCAGCCCCCUGGGUCAACACUGACGCUCAUGCACGAAAGCGUGGGGAGCAAACAGGAUUAGAUACCCUGGUAGUCCACGCCCUAAACGAUGCCAACUAGGUGUUGGGAAAGGAGACUUUCUUAGUGCCGUAGCUAACGCGUGAAGUUGGCCGCCUGGGGAGUACGGUCGCAAGAUUAAAACUCAAAGGAAUUGACGGGGACCCGCACAAGCGGUGGAUGAUGUGGAUUAAUUCGAUGCAACGCGAAAAACCUUACCUACCCUUGACAUGUCAGGAAUCCCGGAGAGAUUUGGGAGUGCUCGGAAGAGAACCUGAACACAGGUGCUGCAUGGCUGUCGUCAGCUCGUGUCGUGAGAUGUUGGGUUAAGUCCCGCAACGAGCGCAACCCUUGUCAUUAAUUGCCAUCAUUUAGUUGGGCACUUUAAUGAGACUGCCGGUGACAAACCGGAGGAAGGUGGGGAUGACGUCAAGUCCUCAUGGCCCUUAUGGGUAGGGCUUCACACGUCAUACAAUGGUCGGUACAGAGGGUUGCCAACCCGCGAGGGGGAGCCAAUCCCAGAAAGCCGAUCGUAGUCCGGAUUGGAGUCUGCAACUCGACUCCAUGAAGUCGGAAUCGCUAGUAAUCGUGGAUCAGCAUGUCACGGUGAAUACGUUCCC